Long non-coding RNA from Dreissena polymorpha, 1232 nucleotides. RefSeq lists it as uncharacterized. The transcript is spliced from 3 exons. The record is from RefSeq and is a predicted model, not a curated record. Lineage: Eukaryota; Metazoa; Mollusca; Bivalvia; Myida; Dreissenidae.
UUUAUGAAAAUUAAAUAAUGCGUUUGCUCUUUUUGGAACUGAUAAUGCUAUUAAAAUACACAAGUUUUCUUUUAUUUUGUAAAACCUAUGGUUAAUUUUCGAGUGUUGCUGAGUUUGUAGAACACAAUAUUAACUGGAUAUAAGGAGCUAUUACUGUGAAAAGGAUUUUCAUCCGAAAUCUGUAUCCGAAUAGUGAAUAUCAUCCGCAUCUGUUUGGAAAACAUUCUUUGACAAGUUACCUAUGGAAUAUGCCAGUGUUUGGUAUAACACCUUAUUGAAAAUAAAUUGAUCUCUUUGAUCAAUUUUACAAAAUGCAGUAAGGUUAUUUUAUCAGAUAAUGGCAUGUUAAUAAUGUAGCUUGUUGUGGCAUCCAAUGAAGACGAUUUCACAAUGCAAUGGAAUUAAUGCAGUAUGGUUUGAUUCUGUGUACAGCAAUUGAAUUGUUGCUGAUAACACUUCAAUUUUUAGUCAAAUCCGAGUUCUACAGUGAAGUUGGCAUGACUCAAGGUGUCUCAAGAAGUUCAGUUUGUGUCUUCACAAAACUGGAGGCUUUCUUCAAUUUUCGCCUCGGAAGACAGCUCUGGUGGUGACUGUAUGUGCCAAACUGCACAAUCUGUGUGUGAGUGAUGGUUUCCUUGUCAUUGAUGACAUUGAGGCAGAAGACAACGAUGACAAUGCACAACUGCCAAUGAAAAACCCUGACCAGAAUGCUUAGCGUGUGCAGGCCUUACUGAUUGAGAGCUUUCACUGAAAAGCGAUUCUAUGUGUUUAAUACAGAAUACCUUUUUCAGCGAAAUCACUCAAUCAAUAAUGAAUUAAUUCUCAAUAGCAUACUGAACUGUUUAAUGUAUUGUUUUGUUCAUUUCACUACUAGAGUAUUCUUUUAUUACUAGGUGAUAUUUAGUGUUAAAAUAUAAGAAGUUGUUCUAACAAUAUUUCUUGAUAGUUGUUAAAAAGUGCAGAGAAUUGUAAUAACCUUAUCAAUUUCAAACCAUAUUUAGUGCAUUUCAUUGAUAGCAAUUUGCUGCUAAAAUUGUCAUUUGAUUUAUAACAUUUUCCAUUUAUUGUACUUCACAAAGUGAUUUUUUUUCAAACAAAACUUUGAAUUGUAUCAAAAACAAACAUCAUGAAUAAAUGUUUAAAGCCACACCUUGAAAUGAAGUACAUGUUAAUAAAUACAUAAAGAUGCAAUUUCAAAAUGUGCAACAUUGUCAUAAAAUCUCUAGCCUUGU